RNAcentral lists this ribosomal RNA (482 nucleotides) under uncultured bacterium. RNAcentral's name for it is "partial 16S ribosomal RNA". It matches the Rfam family "Bacterial small subunit ribosomal RNA", at positions 28 to 507 of the family's 1533-position model. The record is from RNAcentral.
GACGAACGCUGGCGGCGUGCUUAACACAUGCAAGUCGAACGAUGAAGAAGAGAAACGCGAACUUCGGUUCAAAUUUCACUUCGGAUUAGUGGCAGACGGGUGAGUAACGCGUGAGCAACCUACCUCUUACAAAGGGAUAGCCUCGGGAAACCGUGAUUAAUACCAUAUGACACUUUCAUAAGGCAUCUUAAGAAUGUUAAAGCUACGGCGGUAAGAGAUGGGCUCGCGUCCCAUUAGCUAGUUGGUGAGGUAACGGCCCACCAAGGCGACGAUGGGUAACCGGCCUGAGAGGGUGAACGGUCACAUUGGAACUGAGACACGGUCCAAACUCCUACGGGAGGCAGCAGUGGGGAAUAUUGCACAAUGGAGGGAACUCUGAUGCAGCGACGCCGCGUGAGCGAUGAAGGAAUUCGUUUCGUAAAGCUCUGUUCUAUGGGAAGAAAAGGACUGUACCAUAGGAGAAAGCCCCGGCUAAAUACGUG